AAAAAAUUAGUUAAUUUAAUAACCUUAGUUUGUCAAACUAAAAUUAUCUUUAUAAGAUAUUUUUUG
This 66-nucleotide transfer RNA is filed under the name Rhipidia chenwenyoungi. RNAcentral's name for it is "tRNA-Asp". Lineage: Eukaryota; Metazoa; Arthropoda; Insecta; Diptera; Limoniidae. The record is from RNAcentral.